This 223-nucleotide small RNA is filed under the name Jatropha curcas. RNAcentral describes it as "Early nodulin 40". It matches the Rfam family "Early nodulin 40". Lineage: Eukaryota; Viridiplantae; Streptophyta; Magnoliopsida; Malpighiales; Euphorbiaceae. The record is from Rfam by way of RNAcentral.
AUGGUGGUCUUUUUUCAAGAACCUAUCCUUGGUUCUUGAAAAGCAAAGGGGCAUGGAGUUGGGGUUUCUUUACCCUCCUCCAAAAAUUUCAAACAGUUUGCCUGUGCUUAGCCAAUGAUUACAAUUUCUCAGAACCAACAUCUGAAGCAAAGCAGAGAAUCUUUGGCUAACGCAUAGCAGACCGGCAAGUCACAGAACGGCAACAGACUCUGGUAUGGGUCUU